AUUCCAGCUCCAAUAGCGUAUAUUAAAGUUGUUGCAGUUAAAAAGCUCGUAGUUGGAUUUCCGGCGUGAGGGAUCAGUCUGACUUCUAGUCAGUACUUGGUCCUCUCAUGCCGUCCUUGAAUGGUGCAUCCUGGCAUUAAGUUGUCGGGGUGAGAGCCGUUCAUCGUUUACUGUGAGAAAAUUAGAGUGUUCAAAGCAGGCUUAUGCCGUUGAAUAUAUUAGCAUGGAAUAAUAAGAUAGGAUCUUCGUCUAUUUUGUUGGUCGCGGACAAAGAUAAUGAUUAAUAGGGAUAGUUGGGGGUGUCUGUAUUGUGUUGUCAGAGGUGAAAUUCUUAGAUUUACACAAGACAAACUACUGCGAAAGCAUUCACCAAGGAUGUUUUCAUCG
RNAcentral lists this ribosomal RNA (387 nucleotides) under Chaetoceros sp. RNAcentral's name for it is "partial small subunit ribosomal RNA". It matches the Rfam family "Eukaryotic small subunit ribosomal RNA", at positions 582 to 975 of the family's 1831-position model. Lineage: Eukaryota; Bacillariophyta; Thalassiosirophyceae; Chaetocerotales; Chaetocerotaceae. The record is from RNAcentral.